UUGUUCUCGGCUGACAUUUGGGAGUUUUUGGAGGUUAAACUUGGUGCAGUAACCUGAACCGAAAUGGGGAUUCAAGCUAUAGUAUUGUACAAGGUUUGGCAACCACCUCGAGCUGAAUAUGGGGACUUCGUGGGGCUGAAUUGAGAUGAUCUAGGAGUGCUUCCCCCUUGGAUUGAUGCAGGUUUGGGCUUUAGUCUAAACCUAGGAGACUUGGAGACUUCGAAUUCUUGCAGUUGCAACGUGAACAAGAGUCGUCGAC
Ananas comosus (pineapple) is the source of this 259-nucleotide long non-coding RNA. RefSeq lists it as uncharacterized. The transcript has 3 exons. Lineage: Eukaryota; Viridiplantae; Streptophyta; Magnoliopsida; Poales; Bromeliaceae. The record is from RefSeq and is a predicted model, not a curated record.